AUUCUGGUAAGAAAUCACAAUUUUACUCUGUUUCUGUGCUUAAUACAAAAAUGUAAUCAUUCGUGUUUAUAAUAGUGUGGUAGUAAGUGUUUGAAUAAUGAAUUGUUUAUCAUGCACGUAGAUAAGUAACAAAUAAGCGGGAUAUUUUGUGGCCUUCUAAUAGCGUCUAGAAUAUUCUAUGACGCAAUAAAUUAGAUUUUUUGUUGAAAAUUUCAUUCAUGUCACUUCAUUCGUGUACGUUUUUUGAGUAACACUAAUGAAAUUCCAUUCGACACGAAUGAAGCGGUUUAUUACUUCACUCCGAAAAGGAGGGUUUUUUUUAUGGUAGGUAAAAAUCAUCAAAUGACGAAUCCCGCCCUUGGGCAGAGCGGGAAACAGUGUCAGAAUUUUACUGACUAAAGACUACCCCGUUCCUUCCAUGCCAUUCGUACUGGGCCCCAGCAGGCUUCGACCCUUCAUCAGGGUCACUACAGUUGCUGACAACUUUUUUUUUUUUUUUUAUGAAACAAGCCGGUAAUCGAGCAGACGUAUUACCUGAUGGUAAGCAAUCGCCGCCGCCCAUGGACACUUGAAACACCAGAGGCGUUACAAGUGCGUUGCCGGCUUUUUGGGAGUUAGGAAUUUAAGGGUUGUUGUUCGGGAAUCGGGGAUGGGGAAGAUUGGGAAGGGGGAAUUGGGCCUCCGGUAACGUCACUCACACAACGAAACACAACGCAAGCGUUGUUUCACGUCGGUUUUCUGUGAGGCCGUGGUAUCACUCCGGUCGAGCCGGCCCAUAAGGCCCGGUCAUGUAACUUUUAUCUUACAUCAAACUGUAGAAAUAUGAAUAUGAAAUGCAAUAAUUGCUUUAAAUUACGUUGGCCCUGUGUAUGUAGAUGUAGAAGUAUAUUGGUUCGUAAGUGUUAGAUAAAAUCAAAUAAUUGUAUAUUUUACGUUAUAAAAAGCAAAGUUGUUGUCUUGAAAAGGUGCCAUUGCACACACGACUGAGAAAAGUUAUAUAGUCUGUGUAUUUGUUUAAAAAAAAACUUAAGUUGCUUUAUCGCGAGGCUCUAUGGUUUUUGCUGUUUGCAUAUUUUAAUGAAGCGAAGCGAUAUAUCAUAUGAAAUAUGCUAUCUCGCGUAUGUUUACGUUGAACUAAGUAACUACAAAUUUAAUUAUUAUCCAUAAUUAUAAUUUAAUAAUAAUUAUAUAUUUUUUGUAUAAUUUAGUUUACUUCUUUUAGUUAAUGUAUGUCGUGGUCUGAUAUGUUAUUAAAAGUCAAUGUUUAAAUUUUUUUAGUAAAUUUUUGUGACUAAUCGAAGUACUAUCCAGUUUUUAAACGAUUUAGAGGUCAUAAAUGAAUUAGAUAUUUAUUGGGAUACUAAAUUAACCUCUUUUUAUGCACUCCAGUGUAUGGUAUGGAUAGUGGUAUUAUAGUGUAAGAAUAAAUUCUCAUUUCUGUAAUGUUAUUACAUCUGCGCUUACAAAUGUUGGUGGCCAACGUUGGGUCAAAAUGUUGGUGUGAUUGGUCCAAUAUUUGUGGGCGUGGUUAUAUUGUAUGAUACAUUCCAAUCAUAGCAUAGUUUCACUUCACAUCGCUGUGUCAGAUACUUAGUGGUUGUUGGGCGACUUUUUAGUAAAUUGUGUGAUAUGAAAUGUUCCUCAAAAUAAGUAUAGACGCAUCAUAAAACUACCCGAUUCGUUCUGUAAUAGAUUUUAGACUUUAUUACAAAGGGAUACAGUUGAAAGUUAAUUGAAGACAUUCGACAGUAUAGAAAACAUCUUAUGGUCUAUUUUUUGGAUUAAGACCUGCUCAUAUGAAUGUACCAAUACUUUAUUGAUAAAUUAUAUCAGUAAGUAGAAAUAGGAAAGUAGGAUUUCUUAUUCUAUUAUUCAAGUUGUUCCCUAGAAUUUGUUUGUCUUCCAUAGUUCUCGUUACUGCCCAAAUCACAUGUAAAAAGUCGUCCAACUUGAAUUUAAUUAAUUAUAUGUAAUUAUGUAUGUUGUCCACAGUGUUUGUGUGAUACAAUCAGUAUGUAUAGAUUUCGCUUAAAUAAAUAAAAUUGUAUUCAA
Spodoptera frugiperda (fall armyworm) is the source of this 2052-nucleotide long non-coding RNA. RefSeq lists it as uncharacterized. Lineage: Eukaryota; Metazoa; Arthropoda; Insecta; Lepidoptera; Noctuidae. The transcript has 2 exons. The record is from RefSeq and is a predicted model, not a curated record.